GGCCGCUCCCCCGGGGGCCUCCCGCCCGCCGCGGCCCCGCCCAACGAGCGCGGCUGCAGCGGGACGAGCCGCUCCGGGCCGGGCGCUGGCGCCGAGGCCGCUGCUGCCGCUCCUGCUCUGACUGCGCCCGCUGCGGGACCGGGGCCUCGCCGGGGCUCGCUGCUGCUUGAGCCGCUCAUCCGAUACCUGCCGGAGUACAGGAGAUCCGGAGUGGGAAGGGAUACACAAGGACCACCAAGUCGAGCCCUUAUGUGAAUGGCUCCUCUGGGGAUUGAACCCACACCUGGGCAUUCUCAGUACACUGCUCCAACCAAGCCAAUCUCAGCUCCUGGCAAUGUCCUGCCUGGGAUGGGAAUGCCAAGUGCCAGCAAGGAUUUACCCAACAGCUGUCAAGGUGCUCGUUCCAUGGCCCUUUCCAGGGAGAAAUGAGCAAGGCAAGGCCUGAGGGUUCACUUGGUCCAUGGCCAAAGCUCUUCUGAAGAGUGUCAGGGCUGCUCCUGCCUGCAGAGGGGCGUUUCCUGCAGGUGCCCCGGGGAUGCCAGGGAGGUGCCUUUGCCCACAGUGCCUUUCUCCUGCCCCUCUCCAGCCCGAGGCCUCUUCUCCCUUCCCUGCCAGCUGCUGCCAAGGAAGGAGGACACAUUCCCCACUGAGAAGAACACAACCUCACAGCUGUUAAGGCCUGACAGUUCCCUGCAGGGAGAGCUCAGCACAUGUGCCCAGAGGCAAUCCCAGCAUCUGCAAGAAAGAAAGAAGCAGCAAAAGUGACUUUUGCAAGCAAACUCUGAAGCUGACAAGCCCAGAAGCUCCAUCCAUCCACUCUGGAAGGAAAGGAUACUCCCAGGGAUGAGGCACAUUCCCAGCAAACUCUCCCAACACAGCCUGGAGGCAGCGCUGGAGCUCGGCUGUGGGGCUGGGAAGGGCUGCCAGGAGCACGCAGCCCCAGGUGGGGUGGCAGCAGCAAAUUCCCACAGGCUGAUGGCACAACAGAGAGACAAAGGCCAGCAGUGGCCACGGGAGGUGCAGGGUUAAUUCUGCUCCCUGCCCUGCCCCAUCCCUGCAGGAAAGCUCCAGGGGGGAGAGAAACUCUCAGGGUGCCCAAAAUGCAGCAUCUGUCACCCUGAUCCUGCUUCAACUCAGCGUGGGGGGCCAAACUCCCCCCACAGGUAAACACUGAGCUGACCUGGUCAGUCUCAAACACAGCCCCAGUUCUCCCCUCCAGCCUGCUCCUGGGGCUGCUGCCACAUUCCUGACAAGGUGCCCCUUUGGACAGGGCUCUCUCUGUGUCUCAGGUGCUGGGCACUGCAGGGACCAGGGCAGCCCCCUCUGGGGACAAUUGGGGAUUCAUCCCACACCACAGGCAGGACCAGGGGCCCUCCAGUACAGGCUGGUGGGGCCAGAGCCCAUUGGGUUUGGCUGCUCAAACACCAAAGCUUUUGGCAAAGAUGGGAUGAGUUAAGUGGGUUUUCCUGUCCUGAGACAGAGAAGAAAUUGUUGAAAUUAAGCAUGGAAAUUAAGUCCACUGUGGAAGUCAAAGGCUCCUGGCUUUCCCACUCCUGUUCUGAUUGCUCACUAGAGGGUUUUAUCCAUAACAAAUGAGAGGUGGCACCAAAUAAAAGAGCUCUUUUUCAA
Molecule: long non-coding RNA, 1629 nt
Organism: Corvus hawaiiensis (hawaiian crow)
Lineage: Eukaryota; Metazoa; Chordata; Aves; Passeriformes; Corvidae
Exons: 6
Source: RefSeq, a predicted model, not a curated record